UACGUAGGUGGCAAGCGUUGUCCGGAUUUAUUGGGUUUAAAGGGUGCGUAGGCGGCCUUGUAAGUCAGUGCUGAAAUAUCCCGGCUUAACCGGGAGGGUGGCAUUGAUACUGCAGGGCUUGAGUAAAGUUGAGGUUGGCGGAAUUGACGGUGUAGCGGUGAAAUGCUUAGAUAUCGUCAAGAACACCGAUAGUGAAGACAGCUUACUAGGCUUAUACUGACGCUGAGGCACGAAAGUGUGGGGAUCAAACAGG
This 253-nucleotide ribosomal RNA is filed under the name uncultured bacterium. RNAcentral describes it as "partial 16S ribosomal RNA". It matches the Rfam family "Bacterial small subunit ribosomal RNA", at positions 524 to 776 of the family's 1533-position model. The record is from RNAcentral.